GUAUGAUUCCUGUCCUUCUAUGUUCCUCUUCCCUCCCCCAGCCAACUCCCUGCCUGAAGAGGAAGAAAAAGCAAUGCAGAGCAUCCAGAACUUUAAAUGACUGGUGUUUAACAAUAUUUCAACUGAAGGACACCAAGAGUGCAAAA
RNAcentral lists this long non-coding RNA (146 nucleotides) under Ictidomys tridecemlineatus (thirteen-lined ground squirrel). RNAcentral describes it as "lncRNA (ENSSTOG00000031898.1)". Lineage: Eukaryota; Metazoa; Chordata; Mammalia; Rodentia; Sciuridae. The record is from RNAcentral.